UACGGAGGGUGCAAGCGUUAUCCGGAUUCACUGGGUUUAAAGGGUGCGUAGGCGGAUUGGUAAGUCCGUGGUGAAAUCCCCGAGCUUAACUCGGGAACUGCCGUGGAUACUAUCAAUCUUGAAUGCUGUGGAGGUAAGCGGAAUAUGUCAUGUAGCGGUGAAAUGCUUAGAGAUGACAUAGAACACCGAUUGCGAAGGCAGCUUGCUACACAGUAAUUGACGCUGAGGCACGAAAGCGUGGGGAUCAAACAGG
This 253-nucleotide ribosomal RNA is filed under the name uncultured bacterium. RNAcentral describes it as "partial 16S ribosomal RNA". It matches the Rfam family "Bacterial small subunit ribosomal RNA", at positions 524 to 776 of the family's 1533-position model. The record is from RNAcentral.